This 92-nucleotide transfer RNA is filed under the name Xylaria sp. FL1042. RNAcentral's name for it is "tRNA-Tyr". It matches the Rfam family "tRNA". Rfam says of the family: Transfer RNA (tRNA) molecules are approximately 80 nucleotides in length. The record is from RNAcentral. Lineage: Eukaryota; Fungi; Ascomycota; Sordariomycetes; Xylariales; Xylariaceae.
CUCCUGAUAGCUCAGUUGGUAGAGCGUUGGACUGUAAUUGUUACAUCACUAUAGUGAUCCACAGGUCGUGUGUUCGACUCACACUCAGGAGA